CCACCCCGCACCACCCCGAACGCGCCGGAUCCCGUCUGAUCUUGGGAGCUACGCAGGACUGGCCUGGUUAGUGCUUGGGUGGGAGAAUGCAGGACUCAGGGGGGU
RNAcentral lists this ribosomal RNA (105 nucleotides) under Propithecus coquereli (Coquerel's sifaka). The record is from RNAcentral. Lineage: Eukaryota; Metazoa; Chordata; Mammalia; Primates; Indriidae.